GGGAUCGCAAGACCUUGCGCUUUUGGAGCGGCCGAUGUCUGAUUAGCUAGUUGGUGAGGUAAAGGCUUACCAAGGCGUCGAUCAGUAGCUGGUCUGAGAGGACGACCAGCCACACUGGGACUGAGACACGGCCCAGACUCCUACGGGAGGCAGCAGUGGGGAAUUUUGGACAAUGGGGGAAACCCUGAUCCAGCCAUGCCGCGUGAGUGAAGAAGGCCUUCGGGUUGUAAAGCUCUUUCAGCCGGAACGAAACGGUCACGGUUAAUACCCGUGACUACUGACGGUACCGGAAGAAGAAGCACCGGCUAACUACGUGCCAGCAGCCGCGGUAAUACGUAGGGUGCGAGCGUUAAUCGGAAUUACUGGGCGUAAAGCGUGCGCAGGCGGUUUUGUAAGUCAG
RNAcentral lists this ribosomal RNA (400 nucleotides) under uncultured Nitrosospira sp. RNAcentral describes it as "bacterial SSU rRNA". It matches the Rfam family "Bacterial small subunit ribosomal RNA", at positions 200 to 591 of the family's 1533-position model. The record is from RNAcentral. Lineage: Bacteria; Pseudomonadati; Pseudomonadota; Betaproteobacteria; Nitrosomonadales; Nitrosomonadaceae.